Molecule: transfer RNA, 81 nt
Filed under: Apaloderma vittatum (bar-tailed trogon)
Lineage: Eukaryota; Metazoa; Chordata; Aves; Trogoniformes; Trogonidae
Rfam family: tRNA
About the family: Transfer RNA (tRNA) molecules are approximately 80 nucleotides in length. Their secondary structure includes four short double-helical elements and three loops (D, anti-codon, and T loops).
Source: Rfam by way of RNAcentral
GGCCGGUUAGCUCAGUGGGUUGAGCGCGGUGCUGACAACAAUGACAACAUGGAGGUCGUGGGUUCAAUUCCCACUCGGUCC